AAUUGAUCCAUUUUUACUAUUAAAAAUUGGCUUAGCUAACAUAAUAACCAGACAGUUAUAUGUGGUAUGCCACGCAUACUUCAUUCUAAUAUACAAAGGCCAAUUUUUAAUAAUAGAAAUGAAUGAACA
This is a non-coding RNA of Gossypium raimondii (Peruvian cotton), 129 nucleotides long. The record is from Rfam. Lineage: Eukaryota; Viridiplantae; Streptophyta; Magnoliopsida; Malvales; Malvaceae.